Daphnia pulicaria is the source of this 1610-nucleotide long non-coding RNA. RefSeq lists it as uncharacterized. The record is from RefSeq and is a predicted model, not a curated record. The transcript has 5 exons. NCBI's taxonomy places the organism in Eukaryota, Metazoa, Arthropoda, Branchiopoda, Diplostraca, Daphniidae.
UACGUGAAUGACAUACAUCGACUAAGUUUUUCAAAUCUUUUAGUUAUAUCCUUAUGGCAUGAGAUAACCUUUUUGCUUUUUGUCUUAUUUUUCUUGAAUUGAACUGAAUUCUUCAGCUUGAAGCAUGGUAUUCUUUAUUAUAUUAUGAGUGUUGAUUUAUUUUAAUUAUGAGCGAAUGUCCAAAUAUUUUAUAGUGACUAUUUUGUAUUUUUUCACUGAAAGUAGGCUAAAAGAUUUAUAUUUCGGAAAAUAAAUGUAAGAAAAUAAGCGUAGGAAGGAAGCCUUUUCCAGGUUUGUCGACUAUGGCCAUGGACACCGUUGCCGUUUCGAUUUUUCGAAUAUUGCAGAAUUGCAGACGACAUCUGUGCAGUUCUCUUCCGACAGUGACAGCCCUAAUUCACGCAGCACAUAGCGAGCGUGCAGCGAGUGUACGACGAAAAAACUCUACAACCCACAAAACCGGAAGCCAAACUGCACUUUUUGCGAGUUCUUUUCAUUUGGAUUUUAAGGGUUUCAUCAAUUGCACAUAACUGUUUUCCUAGUUUGACUAAAUAUCAAAUUGGAUUGAGAGUAUACUUUGCUGUCGUGGUUCCAUUUUAGUCCUGACUUGUUGCUUCAAUUUAGUGUGUUGUUUCAUCUUGUUCUGGGCAUUUCCUGUGCUAAAGAAUGCCACUCCGGUUAGAGGUAUGCGUCAUUUGAGAUCUACUGGAAUUUAAACAUUUUUAGAAAAUGAUUGAAUCUUGAAACUCAUCUUCCUGCCAAGUGUUAGGCCAUUUCAAGCGAUUCACAAGAGCAUUCACAAGACUUCAUUCCUCCAUAGUAAUUUUUUAAAAAGUUUCUAAAUUUGCAUUUCAGACUUGAUGAGAAGUCAUGACAUUUCAAGAAAAAGGACAAGGACUAUACAGUCAAUAAGGUUCCUUGUUUGCCAACCUAUUGGCUGCUACCCUUGGUUCUCCAUUUUUACUUCCUCCCUCUUGAUUUGAGGUAAUGAAUGAUUGGAAUCGAUACCAUUCUGUCUCGACACCGAAAUUCUUUGGAACGAGAAUUGAGGUUGUGAUGUGCUAGUAAUGCUACAGCAUAAAGGGCAUCACCCGUCAACAAAGUGCUUAGUUUGUUAACCCGUUGACUUCUACACAACACUUUAAAUCCCCAUCCUUCCGCUCUUAUUUUGAGGUAAAUCUUGCGCCGCUAAUCCAUAUAGGCUGAAUCCAUUGGUGGAAACUGAAAAGGGAUCAGUGACGACUGACUGACGUGUUGUCAUCAGCAAUACUGCUCACAUAGUGCCAUCCUUCCAUUGCCCCCGAGGCGUGGUGCCUGCUCCAGCUUCGCGGCCAGAAUAAUUUGACUUCGACUACCCAACCGACGGCCUGGUGGGUCAACUCACCCUUCACUGACUAUCCUUCUACCCCUGCUCUCAACACAGCACGGAGUUUCUCGAGGACGACGAGAUCAUGGUUUUGAUGGGGAGAAUAUGUUGUUUCUAAAAUUUGCAUGACAGUCGUCAUGAGAUGUAAUGGCCUUAAUCAAGAAAGUCUACAAAGUCCUUUGUUUGCUAACCCAAUGGCUGCUCAAAAAAUCUCCCCUUUACUGCCUUACACAGGCCCUCUUGA